RNAcentral lists this ribosomal RNA (2913 nucleotides) under Candidatus Kaiserbacteria bacterium. RNAcentral's name for it is "partial 23S ribosomal RNA". It matches the Rfam family "Bacterial large subunit ribosomal RNA", at positions 950 to 2895 of the family's 2925-position model. Lineage: Bacteria; Candidatus Kaiseribacteriota. The record is from RNAcentral.
AAAUCAACAAACAACAAAAGAGGUUUGUUAUGAGUAAAUUAAGAAGCAAAUUUAACAAAUGGGUGAGUACUCAUCCAUGGCUAGGAGCAUUCAUUUUUGUUCCAGGUAUACCAAUGUUAUUUUUCCUGAUUCUUUUCAGUCUUCCUAAAGUAUAGGAAUUUCCUGAGGAUUCGUCCUCGGGUCCUCAAUGAAGUGUGCGAGUGGUAGGAGAGCGUUCGUAUUGCGAUGAAUCCAAGGCGGGAGCCGCGGUGGAGCGAUGCGAAGUGAGAAUGCCGGCACAAGUAACCGCAAGGCAGGUGAGAACCCUGCCCGCCGAAAUACCAAGGUUUCCUUCGCGAUGGUGAUCAGCGAAGGGUUAGUCGGUCCUAAGGGAAUCCCGAAUGGGGGACUCGAUGGAUAGCAGGUUAAUAUUCCUGCACACUGCUACGUUCCUAUGGAGGGACGGAGUGUUGUACCCAAAGCUUCUUAUUGGAUUGGAGCUGGAACUAUGAGGACGUGUCUUAGGCAAAUCCGGGACAUAUAAUCCGAGUAGGGUCUGAACUUACGGCUACGGCCGUGGGAAUGAGGGGAGCACGCUUCCGAGAAAAACUUCGUUUGGGUUAAGCGUAGUGGUUCCGUACCGCAAACCGACACAGGUGGUAGAGUCGAGAAGACUAAGGCGAACAAGUGAGAGGUCCUCAAGGAACUCGGCAAAAAAGCGACCGUAACUUAGGGAUAAGGUCUGCCCAAUCUCUUCGGAGGGAGGGCCGCAGCGAAAGAUUUCCUGCCGACUGUUUAACAAAAACACAGCUCUCUGCAAACACGAAAGUGGAAGUAUAGAGGGUGACGCCUGACCUAUGCCGGAAGGUUAAAUACGGGGGGUGAUAUGAGAUUCGUCUUGUAUUGCUGGACUGUAUAAGCCCCGGUAAAUGUCAGCGAUAACUAUAAUCGUUCUAAGGUCGAGCGCAUGAUCCAAUAAAUCAUACGCUCGACGGAUUGGAACGAUUGUAGGGUUAAGCAGCCUAGCCACAGUUACCUUAUGGGUCAGAAAUGAUUCAUAUAAUCCAAACCAAACCUACAAGAGACCAAAUGUUUGGCACCGCAGCAUUCACGAAAGUGAGAUGGUGGUGAAGAUAGAGUCCUAUUGUGUACGUGUGAUUUAAGGGUCACACACAAAAGAAGGGAAAAUAGAGCGUAUUUCCUUGUCGGGUAAGUUCCGACGUGCACGAAUGGCGUAACGAGUGGGAAACUGUCUCGAGGACUUGCUUGGUGAAAAUACAAUCGCGGUAAAGAUGCCGCGUACCUGCAGUUAGACGAAAAGACCCCAGGAGCUUUACUGUAGCUUCGUAUUGGGGCUAUUGAAUUAAUGCGUAGUAUAGGUGUGAGACUUUGAAGCGGGCUUUCGGGUACCGUGGAGUCGCCAGUGAAAUAGCACCCUUUAUUUUGGUAGUCUCUAACCGGUGAGGAAAAACCUCAUCGAGACAGUGCGUGGCAGGCAGUUUUAGUGGGGCGCUACCCUCCCAAAAUGUAACGGAGGGGUCUCAAGGUUGGUUAGUCGCGAAUGGAAACCGUGACGAUAGUGUAAUGGCAUAAACCAGCUUGACUGUGAGGAGUAGAUUCCGAACAGACACGAAAGUGGAGCAUAGUGAACCGAUGGUUGGCUUUAGAUGCCGCCGGAGAUUACCCGAUAAAAGUUACCCUGGGGAUAACAGGCUAGUCGUGCCCAAGCGUCCAUAGCGACGGCACGGUUCGGCACCUCGAUGUCGGCUCGACUUAUCCUGGGGCUGGAGCAGGUCCCAAGGGUUUGGCUGUUCGCCAAUUAAAAAGUCACGUGAGCUGGGUUUAGACCGUCGUGAGACAGGUUGGUCUCCUAUCUACUGCAGGCGUCGAUUCUUGAGGAGAGUUGUUCCUAGUAAAUUUUUGCUACUUUAGGGAGAGAUCCCUAAUGACAACAUGGCUUAUAACGGUGAAGUCUACGUCACUUCCGGUUUUAGAGGUCAAUACACCAUGGUCCAGUGUGUAUUGAAUUCGCUUGAGGACCGGAAAAUUGAUAUGAUAAUACCGUGGGAAGUCGAUCCAAAACAGAUUUAGCAUACAUUGCAGGUUUCCUUGAUGGAGAUGGAAGCAUAAUGUUGCAAGUAAAACUUCGCAGUGACACCAGUCGCGGCGUGAGAUUUAUGACUACAUUAUGUCUCUAUCAAGAUACUCGCCACGCGAAGCCACUUAGCUGGAUGCGUGAAGUACUUGGUAUCGGGUAUUUAUCCAAUCGUAAUGAUGGGAUGACCGAACUAAGGAUUAAUGGUUUUGCUUCAGUACACAAAGUGCUUACACAACUACGACCUUUUAUAAGAUUCAAGACAGUUCAAGCGGAUGCUUUAAUGCAGGCUUGUACAAUCUUGAAUUCAAAAAAGAUCAGUAAAUUGUCUGAGCAAGAAUUGCGGAGUUUAGUAGAAUUUGUCUUUUUAAUUAAAGACCACAACUACAAAAGCAAAGCAACUUUGAGUAAAGAAACAUUGCUACUUCGAUUGGGUUUGACCCCGUAACGACUUGCGCUGAAAGACGCGCGGACUCAUAGUAUGAGGAAUCAUUUCUUUGAAAAUGACAGCUGCUAUGGGUAACAUGCCAUCGCCCUCGCUAGUAUUCCACUAGACGGGUGAAGAUAUAGUCUGUGCUCCUAGAAAUAGGGGAAAGAUGCUAAAUAUUGCAUUUAGUAUUCACGACGAGAGGACCGGAAUGAACGAACCUCUGGUCUAUCAGCUGUCACGCCAGUGGCACUGCUGAGUAGCUAUGUUCGGAAUGGAUAACCGCUGAAAGCAUCUAAGCGGGAAGCCAACUCCAAGAUUAGGAAUCCCUGGACAUUAGUCCCUAAAGACCCCUUGUAGACGACGAGGUUGAUAGGCGGGAGGUAUACGCACAGCGAUGUGUUUAGCUUAC